This 226-nucleotide unclassified non-coding RNA is filed under the name Hevea brasiliensis (rubber tree). The record is from RNAcentral. Lineage: Eukaryota; Viridiplantae; Streptophyta; Magnoliopsida; Malpighiales; Euphorbiaceae.
CGACGUCGCUUUUAUCCUCUGUCCUCCUUCUAUCCAAGUCCCAAUUCUCUAUUUCUCUCUUCUUUAUCUUGGCGUUAUUAUCUCUCCCGCCAACCCACUCGGUUCCAAGUCCGAGGUAACUCACCAAAUCCAACUAUGUAAGCCCAAAAUCGCAUUCGCCACGUCACAAACAGCUCAUAAACUCCCUUCUCUCCCUCUCGGCACCAUCCUCAUCGACUCGCCUGAG